Triticum urartu is the source of this 195-nucleotide non-coding RNA. Lineage: Eukaryota; Viridiplantae; Streptophyta; Magnoliopsida; Poales; Poaceae. The record is from Rfam.
AUAUCUUUCUCGGCCUCUUGGCUAAGAUCAAAUGUAGCAUAUGUUUUUAUCAGUUUAAUAUCUGAUAUGUGGAUUUACACAUCCAUGAGAUAUUAAGUGAUCUUUUUAUGAGGGAGAAUUUGUCUAUGUAGCAUGCUACAUGGACGGUUCUCACCAGAGUCUCAUUUGCACGGUCCAGAGGGACAUUGCUACUGC